Long non-coding RNA from Harmonia axyridis, 3024 nucleotides. RefSeq lists it as uncharacterized. The transcript is spliced from 2 exons. NCBI's taxonomy places the organism in Eukaryota, Metazoa, Arthropoda, Insecta, Coleoptera, Coccinellidae. The record is from RefSeq and is a predicted model, not a curated record.
UUUUUUAUUCUUUUAUAAACCUGUCUGUUUCUCUGUUGUUGUGGUUUCAUUUUCUCAAUCCAGAGUUUCUAACUCCUUUGCUUCAGGUUAUCAGAAACCAUCUUCGACAGGCAAUCAAACAGGUUUCUUUUUUUUGCAUUUGCAAUGGUAUGGCAAAAUUAAUACACCUUGAGUUUCAGUCUCUGAUUUAUUUGUUUUGUGGCUUUGGUUUAUUGUUUAACUUGGCUUUAGUUUACCUAUUAGCUUAUGUUCAUAGCUUUAUCUUCUAUGUAGUACUUUUGUAUUUCUGCGAAACCUUUCUCCCUCCAACAAAGAAAAAGUGGAAAUCUAGAUUUAGUGUUCGAUAUUUCAGUUCAUUAAAAUGAUUUCAUAUCAUUUCUUUAGAUAGAUAGUUUCGAUUCAGAUCAUUGAGACUCAAGUUCUUAUUUCAAACAUGUUUCAAAUUAAUUUUGGGGAAUUUUUUCUAAUAACGAUCAAUUUAUAAGGGGGUUCGCUCUAAAUUUUUUGCGGAUUGAAUAUUUCGAAAUGAUAUGAGAUGCCCAAAAACAACCUUAUGAGAUGGUUGCUUGAUGCACUAGGCAGGUUUCAGCACUUUUAAGGUAAGAAGGGGGAGAACUGGUAUGAACUCUAAUGUUGCCAUUCAUCGAUUCAUUUAAGAUUUCACCAAACGUAAUUUUUUAAUAUUCACUUUAUCCCUGGCAAACAUUCGAGGUCUGAACGGUCAGAGACUGAGGUCUCGGUGUUUUGUUUAGUUACUCCCGCUUGUUACAUUAUUUUAAUUUAUUGACUAAUUAAAUAAAAUUUUGCCAAACCAUUGUAAGUGUCGUUGUGUUGGGUUCUGUAGGAAGUAAAUCUAGCAAUUGAGUAAUUUUUAAAAACCAAAUGUUUUUCUAGUAGAUUCAAAUUAUCAAUUCUUUAAGAUAUUAGAUCCUAUAAGUUGAUAAUGGUAGAGAAAAACAUUUCGGAAGUUCACUUUGAUUAACCUAGUCGAAAAUUGUUAGGUAUACGUUCCUGAAGAUAAUGUUGGCCUUCUAUUUCAUGUACCUUCCAAUUUUUCGGGUCUAACACUAAUUCAAUUGUGCAUGCUUCUCAUUUCAUUUUGUACAGUUAUACUAUUUUCGAGUCACAUACUACAAUUUAGUAUGUGACUUAUUUUUUCAGUGUUUGAAUUUUCCGUCCUAACCUUGUUUGCAAGUUUGCAAGCAUGGUAGUUUUCGAGAUUGGAUAUAUUCAAUUUUGGAUGUAUCCUCGUCGUUUUCUGUAGUUGCAUGUAUUUACAUGUAACGAGGUAAUUGUUGGUGAAAUGAAGUGAACCGAUUUUUUGGAAAUUUGAUAUUUAUCAAAAUUCCACGAUUAUAACAUGUCUGAUAUCGUAAACUUUACGAGAUCUGCAUGAAAUUUUUUUCUUAAAUCUUUCCACUUCAAUGAUAUAUUUUUAUUUUUGAAGUAUGAGAGAUAUUGCUGAAUUCAAUUCGACUUUCGGAACUUCAAACCAAGUAUUCAAGGAUGUGGAAAUACUUGUCAAUUCUUCUCGAUGUCAUUUAGAUAUUCAUUUGAUCAGGAGAGAAUUGACAAGUGUUUAAAUUUUUUACAAUUUGAACUUUUGGUUUGAAAUUGCCACGCUGCUGUGUGAGGAGGAACCAUGUUUUGAUAGGUGAGUAUAUUGGUGAGUAUUGAGGGAGUUUUCUUCCCACUUUGUGAAAGUUCAUCGAUUUCUGCAUUUCAAGUUUCGUAAUAUUUUUUUGUGGCACUACCAUUGUUUCUUUCUGAAACGAGCAAAGAUUUGCCGUUACGGAUCCGAAGGAAUGUUGAGACCUCAAAAAAAGUAUUAAGAAUCGAGAUAUACCUUUUUAGGGAGUGUUUUUGAAUUCUUAAACAUUCCUUUUCCAAUUCAUGAAUAUUCGGCGAAACAUUGCAUUGCAAUAUUUUUUGUAAUGUGAUAUGGUGAAUGAAAUCUAUUAUAUUUCAAAUGUGAUUUGGGUCUAGUCGAGUUAGCGUUGAAAUUCAGCUUAAUUACUUUUUACGUCUCAUCAAUUGAUGACUUGGUUUGUGAGUAUAAUUGGUAAGUUGACUUCAGCGUCGAGUAUGACUAUAGGAGGCCAACAGACAAUUAAAUUCACGUUUCUUAGCUGACGAAACGGCUUGUCACUUCCUGAAUGUUGCAUGCCAAACUUUUGUACCUGCAGUAUUCUAGAAAAUGACAGCAUGUUCUAACAGGUAGCGUCAUAUGACGGUUGACAUUUUAUCUUCCGUGAUAUGUCGCACUUUGUCUUUGCAACAUUUGUUUUUCGAUGUGCAUGGAUAAAAGCUUGAAACGUGAUUUAUUUAUUUAUUUUUUGACUGUUGGCAUUUCCUAGUCUGGUUUGUUGCAGUUCCAUCUCUCAUGUGUCCUAAGUGUGGUCGAAAAUACUCCGUACCAUCGACGCUAGAACGCCACCUAAAGUACGAGUGUGGUGUUGCUAAACAGUUCGAAUGUGGCGUUUGCCAUCGAAGGUUUUCAAGAAGAGAUAUACUCCGUUGUCAUCAGAAAACUCUAGCUCAUUAGCAUAAGUAUGUGUUGGGUGCGCGUAGUGUGAACAUCGAUCGUCAGAAUUUAAAUCUAACUUUGCUUCAAUUUUAUCUAACAUGCACCGUCUCCAAGUGGGAAGGUGUGUGGUUAGAUGAAGCUCAGUUUUUCGAAUAGUGGCCUGAUUCUAACGCUGAUUGACAACGAUACUUUUCUUGUCAACUGCGGUAGAAUCAGGUUGGGUGUGGAGGUGGGACUAUUCGAAUUUUUCUCUUUUUUUUUUUAAAUCCACCGGUGGUAAAAUUUCCUGAGCUCUUUUUCUACCCUUUCCACAAUUUUCCCUAGUAUCUCCUAGUAGCCGCCAGCCAAGCAGUGGAUGGUAUGGUUUGGACUGCCAAGCAGCUAGCUUCAGGGUGGCUUUCCAGCCAAUAAGAGGUCUCGUCCUCCCAUGAUAGUCGUUGGCCAACGUCAAAUACAUUAAAAAAAUGUAGAAAAAAACGAAUAAAGUUGAAAUUUUA